UGGCAAGACCAAGCAAACCUGAUGCGCUUCAUCACCUGUUAUAGGUCUCACCUUUUUCCAUAGACUUUCAAUAACUGACUUAAGGAAAGUACAUGGCAUCACGUUGAACAAAUUCUUUGACAAUCAAUGGAAAUUUUGACCUGCAGAAAUUCUGAGAUGUGCAAGGCCUUGAAUUGCAGCCUCCUAUUAUUCAAGUUCGUGAUCUGAAAUCACACUGUGAAACAACAUGGAAAGUCCAAUUACUUCUUCUGGCCUUGAGUAGAAAACAAAGUGAAGGAUGCACUAAAGAGGGUAAAAAAGUUAAAAAGAAUUGCUGCAGAAGAAACGGCAAACAUUUGGAAACAAUCAACAAAGCUGAUAAAGUGAAGCAAUUGCUUCUGAAAGAGGUCCUGGAUACUCAUAAAACAGUUGUAUCAGGCAAGGUGUCAUCUGAGAAAUAAGAUGCUUUUCUUAAAUGGCAAAUGGUGCAGCACAAAUUAGAGUUUGCCACUGAUAAAUUUUCUAAGCCAAUAAGAUAAGUGAGUGAAAUUCUAGUAAUGUAUACAAGUGCAAUCUUGAUCAGACCUCUGUAGACGUCAAGGUUCUCUGACAAGAUGCAUGGAACAAGAAAGAGGAAGUUUACUAGAGAGGUUCAAAAUUCUUAGCCAACUUUGUCAUGUAACAUGUUUAUUGUUGCGGCUGCCUGGAUUAUUGUCAUAUUGUAUACUGUUACAUGACGCCUAGAAGAUCAAAUAUUCAUUUGGAAUGACAAAGACUCAACUUCUAUGAAUUAUCUGAUACCAAAUUCUUUUUGAACAUAACCCGGGGACUUGCUUUUCUACGUGACAACAAGCCUGAACCUAUUGUUCAUCCUUCGAUUGGAACCAGGGAACAUUUUGUCAGCUAGGAGCUAAACAAGAUUGGCGAUGUUGGACGUCUCCUGUCCUGUUGUGCCUGAUGGUUGCAUCGUGUGCAAAAGAAACUAUUCUUCCUGGUACAUCUUAUGACAUGGAUCCUGGAUAGCAAGGAACUGGCAGUGUUUGUCCCAGCAAGCUCACUGACAGGGCUUACCCAAUGGCCCGAUGACGCGGAAAAGGCACUGAAAUGAGGAACAUUAUCUGAUGUGCUUGACCAAUAAAUAGCAGAUUGGUCUCUUGCUGUGGCAGAGUUUAGCCAAGUUUUCUUUACAGAGUUCAAGCCCGAGAUGGUUGCAUCCUGAUUCAGAGAAAUUUCCAGAUUUGAGGAUAUAUAAAAAUCGAGGGAAUGGUUAUUUUAAAUUGAGGCAACACAAUAUAGAUGCACAAAAAAGAUUGUAUCUAUCCAAUGAUACAGAGAAGGUCGGUCGACGUGGUCGGGUCGGAUCGACUCCGUCAACUGCCAUUCACCCGCCCGAACUUGCCACCUGAAUUCGGUCCGAAGUCCAAUGUGUGAUGCGUAGAGAAGACUCGACUCCGCCUUAUUACCAGCAGCCACUUCUCUCUCUCUCUCUCUCUCUCUCUCUCGCUCGCGGACACACUACAGCUCUCCCUCUCUCUUUGGUUAUUGGUUAAUCACAGUGAUGCCACAGUACCACCACUCCAGUCCCUAUUUCGACGACGAUGACGACGAAGAGCUCAUCAAGAAGAGGAGGAAGCCGCCGCCCAGGCCCUCCCCCUUCCUAACCCCGUCCUCGCCGCACCCACCCCGCCGCGCCCUCCUCAUACUGGUCAUCCUCUCCGCCGUCUGUCUCAUCGUCGGCAUCGCUGGGAUCGCGUUCGCCGCCGCCGCCAUCCGCCGACCCCCGCGCAUCGUCACCGUCUUCCGCUGCGGCCGCGCCGAGGACACCCUCCGCACCUUCCGAUCCAAGUCCCUCGCCGCCACCGGCCGGCCCGAGGAGGGCGUGGCGGCGAGGCCCAAGGUGAUUGGGGUCGUCGGGGUCCUCACAGGGUUCUCUUCCUCCGAUCGUCGGGCUGCGCUUCGGGAUACCUGGUUCCCUCGUGAUCCUGACGCCUUGUCUCGUUUGGAUCAUGCUACUGGACUGGCUUUUAGAUUUGUGAUUGGGCAGACAAAGGAUCCAAAGAAAAAGGCAGUGCUGCAGAAAGAAGUAGAGACGCACAAUGACUUCAUGUUUGUAGAUGCUGAUGAAGAUAACUAUAAGUUGCCCUAUAAGACGGUAGCAUUUUUCAAAGCAGCUUUCAACCUUUUUGAUGCAGACUUUUAUGUGAAAGCUGAUGAUGAUAUUUAUUUGCGGCCAGAUCGACUUGCCACUCUUCUUGCUAAGGAUCGAGCACAUCGUCUUACUUACAUUGGUUGCAUGAAGAAAGGCCCAGUUAUCACUGACCGAAAUAUGAAAUGGUUUGAAAGUUCAGGCCAUUUGAUUGGGAAUGAGUACUUUCUACAUGCACAUGGUCCGAUAUAUGCUCUUUCUGCUGAUAUUGUAGCUGCUUUGGCAAGUGCAAGAAAUGAUAGUUUGAGAAUGUUUAACAAUGAGGAUGUCACCAUCGGUUCAUGGAUGCUUGCCAUGAAUGUGAACCAUGAAGAUACCAAAGCUUUGUGUGAACCUAUAUGCACAUCAACAUCUAUUGCUGUCUGGAGCAACCCGAGAUGCUUAGAUCCAUGUGACCUUAAAGAGAAACUGAUGGAGCUUCAAAACGUCAGUAUGUGCUCAAACAGCUCGACAUUGCCUCCUGAAGAUGACGAAGAUGACUAGUGCUAGUUUGUUGUCCCAAAGAAUUUUUGCAUGACAUAUUCAAGAAGGGCUCACUCACUGGCGACCAAUCUACAAAAGGCCAACAAUUUUCAGAUGCCCCCUUUUUCUCAUAAUGGUGCAGACAAAAGGGAGACAAUUUUCAGAUGCCCACUCUGAUCAAAAUCAUAUCUUGGAGGUAACUAGCGAUGUCACCCACUGCUUCAUGUCAAUUUCAUUGUACUUCCACAUAAUGAUUUGAAUUCUAAGAUUCUAAAGUAAAUGUUGACUAGCAACUGCGUAUGUGUUGAUAGAGUAAGUCUCAUCUUUACCUGUCGUCGGUUCACAACAGCCUGUGUUGGCCAACCUGGAGAAGAAACAAAAGAAUCAUCACAAGAAUCUCUUACACUCGAUCAGGCUGCAUUACUUUGUGCUAAAAUACUCUUUAACUAGGCGUUCAGUUUCAAAUACAUGCGACUAAAUCAUGCUGAACUUGUCCGAAUGUUCUGGUGAACAACAAAUUUGGAGGAUAUAUAUCAAACCUAAAAUCAAACAUAAACACCGGUAGCAAGGAGCAGGAAUAGAGAUCCAAAACCC
Musa acuminata AAA Group (dessert banana) is the source of this 3241-nucleotide RNA transcript. It is a transcript of the gene named probable beta-1,3-galactosyltransferase 12, with no coding region annotated. NCBI's taxonomy places the organism in Eukaryota, Viridiplantae, Streptophyta, Magnoliopsida, Zingiberales, Musaceae. The record is from RefSeq and is a predicted model, not a curated record. The transcript is spliced from 11 exons.